RNAcentral lists this non-coding RNA (45 nucleotides) under Schistosoma haematobium. The record is from RNAcentral. Lineage: Eukaryota; Metazoa; Platyhelminthes; Trematoda; Strigeidida; Schistosomatidae.
AUCCAAGCGACGAGUCCCAAAUAGGACGAACCGCGCGUCCUAUAU